AUACAGCAACCAAUGCAGUAUUCCAGUUACAAUGCACCUUUGCAUACUGGAGCUCCGAACUUGCCAGGUCCAAACUUGCCAACUUCCAACCUACCAGUUCCAAACUUGCCGACUUCCAACCUACCAGCUUCAAACUUGCCGACUACCAACCUACCAGCUUCAAACUUGCCGACUACCAACCUACUAGCUUCAAACUUGCCAGUUCCCUUACCCGAUAUUUCAUCUCCUUUGCUUUCUGCUAGUACUGGUUCCCUUAAUUUAGCAUCCACUUCUUCAGCACCAUCAACUUUGCCUGCAACUUUA
This 303-nucleotide long non-coding RNA is filed under the name Ricinus communis (castor bean). RNAcentral describes it as "long non-coding RNA (RCOM_LNC001757)". Lineage: Eukaryota; Viridiplantae; Streptophyta; Magnoliopsida; Malpighiales; Euphorbiaceae. The record is from RNAcentral.